GGAGAGGUGGCUGAGCGGUUUAAGGCAAUAACCUGCAAAGGUUGUUAUGCGGUCUGAAAAACGCAUCGGAGGUUCGAAUCCUUCCCCUCUCCGCCA
RNAcentral lists this transfer RNA (96 nucleotides) under Blastocatellia bacterium. Its description in RNAcentral is "tRNA-Cys". It matches the Rfam family "tRNA". From Rfam's summary of the family: Transfer RNA (tRNA) molecules are approximately 80 nucleotides in length. Their secondary structure includes four short double-helical elements and three loops (D, anti-codon, and T loops). Lineage: Bacteria; Pseudomonadati; Acidobacteriota; Blastocatellia. The record is from RNAcentral.